GAGGAAUAUUGCACAAUGGCCGAAAGGCUGAUGCAGCGACGCCGCGUGAAGGAUGAAGUCCGUUAGGAUGUAAACUUCUUUUGCAGGGGAUGAAUAAUCCCUUUCAGGGACAUGACCGUACCCUGCGAAUAAGGAUCGGCUAACUACGUGCCAGCAGCCGCGGUAAUACGUAGGAUCCGAGCGUUGUCCGGAGUUACUGGGUGUAAAGGGCGUGUAGGUGGAUUUCUAAGUCGGUGGUGAAAUCCUGCGGCUUAACCGCAGAAUUGCCAUCGAUACUGGAGAUCUUGAGUACGGCAGAGGGUGAUGGAAUUCAUGGUGUAGCGGUGAAAUGUGUAGAUAUCAUGAAGAACACCGGUAGCGAAGGCGGUCACCUGGUCCGUUACUGACACUGAGGCGCGAAAGCGUGGGGAGCAAAC
Molecule: ribosomal RNA, 416 nt
Filed under: uncultured bacterium
Lineage: Bacteria
Description: bacterial SSU rRNA
Rfam family: Bacterial small subunit ribosomal RNA
Source: RNAcentral